Molecule: non-coding RNA, 80 nt
Filed under: uncultured Gemmiger sp.
Lineage: Bacteria; Bacillati; Bacillota; Clostridia; Eubacteriales; Oscillospiraceae
Source: RNAcentral
AGAAACAGGGGCGCCGAAAGGCUGAGAUCCGCAAGGAGUACCCUUUAACCUGAUCCGGGUAAUGCCGGCGUAGGGAGUGG